UCAUCGUUUUUCAUAAAUAUCGCCAUUUACUCGACGCCUCUGCCUUUUGGUUCACUGUCUUCAACCUCAACAAAUCAUGUCCUGACGAUUUAAAAAAAGAAAUUUGAAUCAUACAAUGACCAAAUUAAAAGCGUGAUAUCCGUACCCCUGUGCAGCUGUAAUGAUUAAAAGCAGGUGGCAUUUCGUUUAUUCUCCGUGGCAGCAGCUCGGGUUGAUUACCCUGCGACUAAUUAAUGCCCACCAGCCGUUUAAAAUAAUCACCGCUCCCUCGCUGAGUGGAAAAGUUAAUUUGACAAAUUACUGUUCUUGACUGACACAAUCUUCUAUUUAUUCUAGGGAACUAUUACCUGGUUUAAUAAGACGUAUUUAUUUUUCCUCAGAGGAAGAUGAAUUAUCUGCUCCGAUGUUUAGUUUCGGAAAAAUAUAUUCUAAGGAAAUCUAUCAAGAGUCUGCACUGUCAGGGAAAAAUUAAGUAGCUGAAUUAAUCUUUUGUUGUUAAGAUGUUCGACUUUUUAUUUUAUCUGUUCUUCCACAGUAAUUUGAACUGCUCACCGUACUGAUAUAAAAAUUGACACCUUUUGAUUAAAAUUUUGCCCUCAUUUCAACUGUUAAAAAAAGAAGCAAAAUGAUAUUUUGCCCGUUUUGUCCUGACAGAUACUGCAAAAGUUAAUGUGCACUUCUUAAGACACUUUACUUGAUGUGGAUUCUCUGACAGAAUUUUUGGCUGCUUGGACUUAGCAACAUGUAUGGAACAAAAUUAGUGUCAAUAAAAGCAAACAAUGGACAAUGGAUGGAAAGAUGGUAUAAAAGGCUGUUUGUUCCCAACUGAGUCAAGCAUGCUUUAGCUGCAAGUCGGAAAACCAGUGCUAAUUGUUGUGCUGAUUACUUAGUGGCUUUACAAAGAAAUAAUGUAUUCCUCUCAAUUUAAUGAGCUCAAACAUUAGAGAAUGUUCAGAAAUAAGGUUUGUACAGCACUGUCUCUGUCACUUCAAUUUAACAAGUCAAAAAGUCAUCGUUAAUAGUCUGAGUUGUGGCGUCAGUGGAUGUUCUCGUAUUUUGAACUCAGUGUGAAUAGAAAGCCUAAGCAAAAAAUUGUAUAUUUAAGGCAUUUAAAGGUCCAGCAUGUAGAAUUUUGAUUGUUCUACUGAAAUAAAAGGCAUAUUUCCCCAAAAUGCGAAAUAAUGUGUGUGCCCCUUUUAAGAUUUAUGAGUAAAUUGGAGGGGGGAUAAAGGGAAUGCAGAGUUUCUGUAAAUAAAUGAAAGAUUUAUAAUCUACUGUGCACACUAAUCUUUGAACACCUUAUCAUACACUAGUUAAACUAUCAGUCGAACUGGUUUGGUGAGUCUGACUAUUUUUCAAUAAAAUAUCGGUAGAAUGUACCAAUAUUCUAGUACAAUAUUUUAUACAUAUUGGAAAGACACAGGUACCAAUAUAUAAGAAAAACAGACAAAAGCUUCUCCAUCACUGCAAUAAUAGAAAAGUAACAUUUUCACAUCCACUCAGAAUAGUUUGGUCUAACCUGUAAAAGAACAGUCAUGCCCUUCUCUCCUUGUAAUUAUUUCAAUUAGGAAAAGUUACUGACAAGAUGAUAGUCUUCAUUCUGUUCUAGCAAUAUUCUGUGAACUUUAACCUUACAGAAACAGUUUUCUUUUAAGCUUUCUUAAACUAAUCAGACCUUUUCUUGGUGGUAAAUGUAUAAUCCAUAUUUUAGGAGGAAACAACAUUUUUGACAUGCAUAGUAUUUUAUUUUACUUAUCCGUUUAAGUCCGACUAAACUUCAAGGUUUGUGUGUGAUUGUGUUAUGUCUCUCAAUUUGCAUAUGCAAUUUCUAUAGGCAGGCUUUGCAAGAAUGUUGUUCUAGCUCGGGUUUAUCUAGAACAAAGAAGACCAGAUGCAGUUUGGACUCCGCUGUAAAAUAAGAUGAAAACAGCUCCUUGGUUUAGAGCAGAUCUGAAAGCUGCAAAUAAUACAGCAUGAUGCACUUCCUUACAGUGUGUACAACACUGGGGAGCCUCCCACCCUCCACUGACUGCCCUGUGCUGCCCCUCUGGCCCAUGCAGCUCUGGGAGGUGAGUCAUAUCCUCCAUUUUAAAAGCCAUCACUGAUUGAGACAGUGAUAUUUUUCACUUUUAAGUGAGUUUCAAGAAAUAGUUUCUGACUUUUAUGAGUGAAAAUACAAGCAACUUUAAUGCUUUGCUCUGUAAAUCAUAUUAAAUCUGAAGUAUAUUUUUAUUUAAGAACGAAAACUAUUAUUUCUGAAGCCCCUGUUUUUCUGCUGCAAAUACUUCUGUAUGCUUAUAGGAGAUGCAUUCUGGAUGCAGGAUGCUACCAACAUCUGCCCCAUCAUCAUUUACAGCGAUCUUCCAGUCUAAUAUAUACAGAAUUAGCUGAAAAUGUACUCUAAAAAGAAUGUAAGUAAGAACUAUAAUUUCCCCUUUUUACCAAGAAAUGCAUGUCACCAUAGCGAUGUCCAUAACAGAUCAAUUUAUUGUUAACAAUCACUGUUUUGGUAUAGCGCACUUCAGCGAAUGGAGUAAAGAAAACACAGAUUAAAAGAAGGUCUAGCUAACAAUAGCAACAAAAAGAGAAAUAAAUAGAAAAGAAUCUGAUGUCUAAUAAUUCCAUGUUCAUAUGAAUACAUAACAUCUACAGUAUAAGUUAAUAAAUCAAAGCUACUGUAUAAAUACAUCACCAGCAUGCACAAUAUUGUUUUUUUUAUGGAGAAUAUUGGAGCGGUUAUCAUCUCACACUGAAGAGACAGUAUAGUAGGCAAGUGCAUUUUCUUGACCAAGAAGAAACUGAAAACAAAGUUUAAUCCACAAACCUCAAAUCUGCUCGUACAGCUUCCACUUUAACAAUGUGUGUGUGCUCUGCUCACAAAUUAGUUUGUUAUUUAGGUCUGUGGUUCAGGGUGCGACUUUUCAGAGAUCCUGUCGAUUCGUAGAAAAGACGGCGUUACCUGCAGACAGACAUUUCAGUCAGUGUUCUUUCGAUUUGCUCAUCUGGAUCAAAUCGUUUCCCCACAAACACAAGGAGCCAAUCGAAAGAUGUUACAGUAAUGACAAUACUGACAAUAAGAGUUAGGUGUCCAAAAACAGGUCAUUUAUUUAAGAAAGCACAUCAGCACAUGAGAGGGACAAGCUGCACUAAUUUUUUUUUUUUUUUUUUUAACUGUAUAAGUUUGCAGUUUUAGUUACAGUAUGACUGACCAUGUGACUGAGCUGGACACAUACCUGACA
Poecilia reticulata (guppy) is the source of this 3239-nucleotide non-coding RNA. Lineage: Eukaryota; Metazoa; Chordata; Actinopteri; Cyprinodontiformes; Poeciliidae. The record is from RefSeq and is a predicted model, not a curated record.